Vitis vinifera (wine grape) is the source of this 312-nucleotide long non-coding RNA. RefSeq lists it as uncharacterized. The transcript has 2 exons. NCBI's taxonomy places the organism in Eukaryota, Viridiplantae, Streptophyta, Magnoliopsida, Vitales, Vitaceae. The record is from RefSeq and is a predicted model, not a curated record.
UUUCAAGCUUCCUUUUGACUAGGAAGAAUCCAAGACAGCAAUGCAUCAAAUUCUGUCUUGAUAAGGGGAUAGAGAGAUGGGAGAGCCCAGGAUGCUGCUUUUUGAUGUGGGGUGAAGAAGAAAUGGACAAACCACACACCAUUUGGCCUGACCAAGAGAGAAAGGAGCAGAGGAAACAGAGAGUAGAGGAACUGGACCAACAUAAUACCGUGCAGCAUAUGUUGAUCAGAAUCUUGUAUGUUGUUGAACUUUUCUUAUGCUAAAGCUGUAAGUAUGUUUCCAAUGUUCCACUAGUUAAACAGAAAUUUAAGU